CCUACGGGGAGCAGCAGUGGGGAAUAUUGGGCAAUGGGCGCAAGCCUGACCCAGCAACGCCGCGUGAAGGAAGAAGGCUUUCGGGUUGUAAACUUCUUUUCUCAGGGACGAAGCAAGUGACGGUACCUGAGGAAUAAGCCACGGCUAACUACGUGCCAGCAGCCGGGGUACUACGUCGGUGGCAAGCGUUAUCCGGAUUUACUGGGUGUAAAGGGCGUGUAGGCGGGAAAGCAAGUCAGAUGUGAAAACCAUGGGCUCAACCUGUGGCCUGCAGUUGAAACUGUUUUUCUUGAGUCCUGGAGAGGCAGACGGAAGUCCUAGUGUAGCGGUGAAAUGCGUAGAUAUUAGGAGGAACACCAGUGGCGAAGGCGGUCUGCUGGACAGCAACUGACGCUGAGGCGCGAAAGCGUGGGGAGCAAACAGGAUUAGAUACCCUUGUAGUC
This 443-nucleotide ribosomal RNA is filed under the name uncultured bacterium. RNAcentral describes it as "partial 16S ribosomal RNA". It matches the Rfam family "Bacterial small subunit ribosomal RNA", at positions 338 to 795 of the family's 1533-position model. The record is from RNAcentral.